UUCCGGUUGAUCCCGCCGGACCUGACUGCUAUCGGAUUGAUACUAAGCCAUGCGAGUCUUUGUAGUAAUACAAGGCAUACGGCUCAGUAACGCGUAGUCAACCUACCCUAUGGACAAGAAUAAUCUCGGGAAACUGAGCAUAAUUCUUGAUAGAUCAUAAUGCCUGGAAUGGUUUAUGGUUAAAAUGAUUCGUCGCCAUAGGAUGGGACUGCGGCCUAUCAGCUUGUUGGUGAGGUAAUGGCCCACCAAGGCGAUUACAGGUACGGGCUCUGAGAGGAGAAGCCCGGAGAUGGGUACUGAGACAAGGACCCAGGCCCUAUGGGGCGCAGCAGGCGAGAAAACUUUGCAAUGUGCGAAAGCACGACAAGGUUAGUCCGAGUGAUUUCUGCUAAAGAGAUCUUUUGCUAGUUAUAAAACCACUAGUGAAUAAGGGGUGGGCAAGUUCUGGUGUCAGCCGCCGCGGUAAAACCAGCACCUCAAGUGGUCAGGAUGAUUAUUGGGCCUAAAGCAUCCGUAGCCGGCUCUGUAAGUUUUCGGUUAAAUCUAUGCGCUCAACGUAUGGGCUGCCGAAAAUACUGCAGAGAUAGGGAGUGGGAGAGGUAGACGGUACUCGGUAGGAAGGGGUAAAAUCCUUUGAUCUAUCGAUGACCACCUGUGGCGAAGGCGGUCUACCAGAACACGUUCGACGGUGAGGGAUGAAAGCUGGGGGAGCAAACCGGAUUAGAUACCCGGGUAGUCCCAGCUGUAAACGAUGCAGACUCGAUGAUGCAUUGGCAUAUAGCCAGUGCAGUGUCGCAGGGAAGCCGUUAAGUCUGCCGCCUGGGAAGUACGUACGCAAGUAUGAAACUUAAAGGAAUUGGCGGGGGAGCACCACAAGGGGUGAAGCCUGCGGUUCAAUUGGAUUCAACGCCGG
This 913-nucleotide ribosomal RNA is filed under the name uncultured marine archaeon. Its description in RNAcentral is "bacterial SSU rRNA". It matches the Rfam family "Archaeal small subunit ribosomal RNA", at positions 1 to 921 of the family's 1478-position model. The record is from RNAcentral.